UUCCGGUUGAUCCCGCCGGAGGCUACCGCUAUUGGAGUUCGAUUAAGCCAUGCGAGUCGAGAGUCUUAGGGACUCGGCGUACCGCUCAGUAACACGUGGGUAACCUGCCCUAUGCUGGGGAAUAACCUCGGGAAACUGAGAAUAAUACCCCAUAGUUCACUACGCCUGGAACGGUGAGUGGAUGAAAGCUCCGGCGGCAUAGGAUGGGCCUGCGGCGUAUCAGGUCGUAGGGGGUGUAACGUACCCUCUAGCCAUCGACGCGUACGGGUGUUGGGAGACAUAGCCCGGAGAUGGAUUCUGAGACACGAAUCCAGACCCUACGGGGUGCAGCAGGCGCGAAAACUUGGCAAUGCGAGAAAUCGUGACCAGGGAACUCCAAGUGGCUGGGGUAAGACCCAGUCUUUUCAUGACUCUUCAAAGGUCUUGGAAUAAGAGGUGGGUAAGGACGGUGCCAGCCGCCGCGGUAAUACCGGCGCCUCAAGUGGCAGUCGAUUUUAUUGGGCCUAAAACGUCCGUAGCCUGUUUGGUACAUUCGUGGGUAAAUCAACCAGCUCAACUGGUUGAAUUCUGCGAGCACGGCCAGACUUGGGACCGGGAGAGGUGUGGGGUACGCUCAGGGUAGGGGUAAAAUCCUGUCAUCCUGAGCGGACCACCUGUUGCGAAGGCGCCACACUAGAACGGAUCCGACGGUCAGGGACGAAGCCUAGGGGCACGAACCGGAUUAGAUACCCGGGUAGUCCUAGGUGUAAACGCUGUGGACUUGGUGUUGGGGAUGAUCCGAUCAUUCUCAGUGCCGAAGCGAGGGUGAUAAGUCCACUGCCUGGGAAGUACGGUCGCAAGGCUGAAACUUAAAGGAAUUGGCGGGGGAGCACCGCAACCUGAGGAUUGCGCGGUUUAAUUGGAAUCAACGCCGGA
This 915-nucleotide ribosomal RNA is filed under the name uncultured archaeon. Its description in RNAcentral is "bacterial SSU rRNA". It matches the Rfam family "Archaeal small subunit ribosomal RNA", at positions 1 to 922 of the family's 1478-position model. The record is from RNAcentral.